UAAUAUGCGGAAUAAUUGUUUUGUGGGUAUAGGGUCGGCGUAAUAGUAUUUCCAGCCUGGCGUAGUCGUUGUUUUUUUAGCGUAUUAAUGAUUUCCUUUUUUUCUUCUUUUUCCGUGUUUGCUAAGUAAUCGUCUAAUAUGAUGUUCGUAUCUUUUGCGCUCGGGUUGUAAAAGGUUACGAGUUUAGAUAUAUUUUCUCUAUAGGGUUUCGCAAUGGACGUAAGUUGUUGGGUGAUAACGAUGGUCGAGAUUCCCAUGUGUCUAGCGCUAAACCCAAGUUUUAUCAGUUCGCUCGUUCUGUUUUUGACAGAUUGACUGCUAGCACAGUCGUCGAGGACGAUUAGACUAUUCGUUCCUUCUGCGAACCAGGAAACGUGCUUUAAGCACAGAUUUACGUCGUCCUGUUUGCAGGGCAUGGCUAUAAAGUCCUUAUCCUUAUUGUAUUUCCAGUCCUGGUACGUUUUGUUCCAUUCGUAUGUGGGACAUAUUAGAAAUAUAUGCUCGAAGUGGUUUUUAUAAUCGUUCUCCAACAUUUUUAGUAGGUAAUAGGUUUUCCCACAUCCGGUCAUUCCGAGAAUGAUCAUGUUGAA
Paramuricea clavata is the source of this 590-nucleotide non-coding RNA. The record is from the annotation of a GenBank genome assembly. NCBI's taxonomy places the organism in Eukaryota, Metazoa, Cnidaria, Anthozoa, Malacalcyonacea, Plexauridae.